AUUGAACGCUGGCGGCAGGCUUAACACAUGCAAGUCGAGCGGAGAUGAGGUGCUUGCACAUUAUCUUAGCGGCGGACGGGUGAGUAAUGCUUAGGAAUCUGCCUAUUAGUGGGGGACAACAUUCCGAAAGGAAUGCUAAUACCGCAUACGUCCUACGGGAGAAAGCAGGGGAUCUUUGGACCUUGCGCUAAUAGAUGAGCCUAAGGCGGAUUAGCUAGUUGGUGGGGUAAAGGCCUACCAAGGCGACGAUCUGUAGCGGGUCUGAGAGGAUGAUCCGCCACACUGGGACUGAGACACGGCCCAGACUCCUACGGGAGGCAGCAGUGGGGAAUAUUGGACAAUGGGGGGAACCCUGAUCCAGCCAUGCCGCGUGUGUGAAGAAGGCCUUAUGGUUGUAAAGCACUUUAAGCGAGGAGGAGGCUACUGAGACUAAUACUCUUGGAUAGUGGACGUUACUCGCAGAAUAAGCACCGGCUAACUCUGUGCCAGCCGCCGCAGUAA
This 501-nucleotide ribosomal RNA is filed under the name uncultured bacterium. RNAcentral describes it as "partial 16S ribosomal RNA". It matches the Rfam family "Bacterial small subunit ribosomal RNA", at positions 30 to 523 of the family's 1533-position model. The record is from RNAcentral.